This 83-nucleotide transfer RNA is filed under the name Syntrophomonadaceae bacterium. RNAcentral describes it as "tRNA-Leu". It matches the Rfam family "tRNA". Rfam says of the family: Transfer RNA (tRNA) molecules are approximately 80 nucleotides in length. Their secondary structure includes four short double-helical elements and three loops (D, anti-codon, and T loops). Further hydrogen bonds mediate the characteristic L-shaped molecular structure. tRNAs have two regions of fundamental functional importance: the anti-codon, which is responsible for specific mRNA codon recognition, and the 3' end, to which the tRNAs corresponding amino acid is attached (by aminoacyl-tRNA synthetases). tRNAs cope with the degeneracy of the genetic code in two manners: having more than one tRNA (with a specific anti-codon) for a particular amino acid; and 'wobble' base-pairing, i.e. permitting non-standard base-pairing at the 3rd anti-codon position. The record is from RNAcentral. Lineage: Bacteria; Bacillati; Bacillota; Clostridia; Eubacteriales; Syntrophomonadaceae.
GUCGGAGUGGUGGAAUCGGCAGACACGUGCGCUUGAGGGGCGUAUCCGCGAGGGUGAGGGUUCAAGUCCCUCCUCCGACACCA